AUGCUGCAGGCACACACCGCUCCCACCUCCUGCCUCAGUCGCUCUCAGGCCGGUACAGGUACUUCAUCAUCAGGCUGUCCACCUGCUUCUUGCGCCGCUUCUCCUCCUUCCUGGCCCGGUCGGGGCGCACCGGCUCCUCUCCCCCGGCCGCCCGCGGGCCCUUCUUCACACUGGAGGUGCUCCGGUAGGAGACGGUGGAACCAGAGGAGGAAUCAGAGGAGGAAUCAGAGCCCGACUCGGAGGACGACUUUUUCUUUUUCUUUUUGGAUUUCUUUUUGGAUUUCUUGGAUUUCUUCUUGGCGCUCUUCCUCUUGCGCUCCUCCUCUUCCUCCGAGGAGGAGGACGACUCCGNNNNNNNNNNNNNNNNNNNNNNNNNNNNNNNNNNNNNNNNNNNNNNNNNNNNNNNNNNNNNNNNNNNNNNNNNNNNNNNNNNNNNNNNNNNNNNNNNNNNGGCGGUCCUUCCUGCUCCGGGCCUCGUCGCCUCUUAAAGCUACAGCGCACCCCGAAAGCGGGGAGGGAGGGGUUGCACCCCGAGUGCCCGGCGGACGCAGGCGGUCACCUCUACCGCAAAUCCCCGGGAACCCCGAUGUCAAUCACCCGCACCCCUCACUCAUCAACGUGCCACGUUUUCUUCUAAAACACCAUUUUUUUUUAAUUAAUGAAACAACCAAAAGAUGGGCGAAGGGGCAGGGGCUCUGGAAGCGCAGGGUGAGCAUGUUGGCAGGGCUGCGGAUGACCUGGCCCCGCAGCAGGAAGGACUCGUUGGCCAACACCGCCGGCUCCAGGCCCCCUGCGCUCUCCACUGUCAGCGUCUCCCCGUCUGCCAGGCUGAUGUUCUGCACCUUUGGGGAUGGUGAGGUGUCACCACGCUGCAGGAUUUCCCGCAGUCGAUAGCGCGCUGGAGCUUGUCGGCGCGGGGCAGCGCCUUUCAAACACGCUUAGCAUGGCCAUAAAUCUCCCCGUGGCAUGGAGAGCAGCACAGCCCCGCAGCACGGCUGGGCCCAUGGCUGCCUGGCACGUGCUCCAGCGCUCCGGAGCAAUUUGCUGUUAAUGAUGUUAAUUAAGCAGUGCUGUGCGGUGAUGAACGGCGGCACCAGUGAGUGCUGCUCUGUGAGCUGGGGCUGAGCACGGAGCAAGCAGCAGCCUUGCGCCAAUGCAUUCUGCUCACUGUCAGCUAUUGGUGAUACCAGAUUGAGUGAAUGCUGUCGUUAAUUAAAUCCUAUAUUGCUGCUUCAUCAGCAGGUGCCGAUCACAGCAGCCGGAGGCCGAUGGGCAUUGCAUCUAACUCAUGCAUCCACGUCUCUUCUCCAUAAUCCAAGGGUGAGAGAUGCCUUGAGCUGGCUCACAUUGGCUCAUGGCACAAAGGUGGGGACAAGGAGAGGGACAAGACCCAAAGCCAUGUGUGUAGGACUCGUGCCCACCCCCCAACAUCUCACCUUGAUCUCCACACCAUAGCCAGGGUAGACAGAGAUGGUGUAGGUGCAGUCCAUGCUGCUGUCAUACGGGGCACUGGCUGGCUCUGGUGACACCAGCCAGCCCUCGGGACCCGCCAGUGUCCGGUUGCAUGGUGCUGGUGACAAGGAGACCCCCGUGUUAGCCCCACAUAUCCCUGAACCCCCAUCUCCCUCCCUGUGCUCACCUGGUCCCUGCAGCGUGGUGACGGUGGUGGUGGUGAUGGUGGAGGUAGUGGUGGUCCCCUCCUCAUCCCCGGAGACCCCAGUGACCCCCAAGGUGGGCGCUCGGCUGGGGGCUGCGGAGCUUGAUCCUGACCCCCCAGUAGGGGGCUGUGAAGGGUCAGUACCUGGCGCGACCCCCCAGGGCUCCCCCCACGGCCCCGAGCGCCCAGCUGGUGUGGUCAGUGGGGCGGUGGGGAAAGCAACCCUGGGCAAAGCGGGGGCACGUGGUGGGAUCUGGGGGGCUGGGGGUCCAGGGUCCGGCCUCAAGGCGUCGUCAGGCAGCACGGGGCCAGGCAGGCCGGGUGGGAAGGGCGCCUGGGCCAGGUAGUCCUUCUUCAGGAAGGCCUCGUGCAGCAGGUCCUCCAGCAGUGGGUGGUGGUUGAGCAGCUUCAGGGUGGGUGCCGUGCUGACGAAGUGCGCCUCGGCCUCGCGCUCAGCUGGUGUGGGGAGGGCUGUGGGGUCUCCUUCAGCCUCAGCGCUCUCACCUGUCUUCCUCUCCAGCCCAUUGAAGCCUGGGAAGGGAGAGAGUUGGGUGUGAUGAGGAGCAGUGCUGCACCCUCAUGCACCAGUGCCGCACCGUAGAGCGAUGCUUCAUUGUCAUCCAAUGCUGCAUCACAGACUGAUGCUCCAUCAUGAACCAGUUCGUCAUGGACCAGUGCUGGACCCCGGAUUGAUGCGGCAUUGAGCACUGGCACUGGACUGGGGAUCCUGGUGCUGUGUCACAGACCUCUGCUAUACCAUGGGCUGUGCUUCAUCGUGGAUUGAUGCAAAACCACAAACUCAUGCAACACCACGGACUCAUGCUUCAUCUGUAGCAAUUCUUCAUAGCCCAUUGCUGCACUGAUGCACUGAUGCAACACCAAGGACCUGUGCUGCACCAUUGGCUGAUGCUUCAUCAUGGACCAAUUCUUCAUCACAGAUCAAAGCUGCUUCGGGCACUGGGGCCCAGCAUUUCACCAUGGGGCCAUGUGCUGCCCUGAGCAUUAUCACAUCCCUGCGGGUCUAUGCUGCACACAGGGCUGGUGCUGCACCACCCAGGGCAGCGGUGUCGCCGGGUCCCACUGGCCAUGGUGCCAGGAGAGGAGCCGUGCCGUGCUGUGCCACGGAGAGGAGAGCUGCACUGGAGAGCUGUCAAUAAAGCUGAUUGCUUUAUCGAGGACACGUUCCUGGGUAAACAGGGACAGAGCAUGGACGGCAAACAGGCACAUCGACCGCAUGCAGCAGGGCUCCACCGCACCUCAGCGCAGCACACCCCUCACCAGAGAAGCCUGGGCAAUUAAGCAUGGCUAAUUAACUCACAUCUGCACCAGAGCUCACAUUAAGGUGUACCCACUCCUCCCGUGACACGCAGCAUCCUGACGCCUUGCCCAACGUCUCGCCAUGCGGUACCAUGCACCGGCACUGAUGACACGAUACUGCCAAUUACUGGGUAAUUACACCGAGCCGUAGCAGGGCAGGCCCCGCGAAGAUUAAUUACUCUGUGACUGCCACUUUUAAGGGACUAUUAAGAGACAUUAUCCCUGGAGAGUGCUGUGUGAGGAGCCACCAGGUGCAGCCAUCAUCCUGUCCCCCGUGCCACCACUGCCACCCCUCUGCACGCACACUGGCUCCAAAAGGGCAACCUGCCCCCUGGCACCACCAGAAUUAUUUUCUAAUAGGAUCCAUUUAUUAGAACAUAAAAGUUAAUGAGUUUAUACUGAAGGGCGCCAAAAUCUCUUUC
This 3396-nucleotide long non-coding RNA is filed under the name Meleagris gallopavo (turkey). Its description in RNAcentral is "lncRNA (ENSMGAG00000023019.1)". Lineage: Eukaryota; Metazoa; Chordata; Aves; Galliformes; Phasianidae. The record is from RNAcentral.